CCUGGGCUGCAUGCAAAGCAACGUGGCCAGCAGGUCAGGGAGGUGCUCCUGCACCUCUACUCUGUGCUGGUGAGGUCUCACCUGGAGUACUGCAUCCAGAUGUGGAGUCCUCAGCACAGGAGAGACAUGGAGCUGUUGGAGCGUAACCAAAAAGGAUCUGAGGGAUGGAACAGCUCUUCUAUGAGGACGGGCUGAGAGAGCUGGGGCUGUGCAGGUGGAGAAGAGAAGGCUGUGAGGAGACCUGAGCGUGGCCUUCAGUAUCUAAAGGGGAGCGACAGGAAAGAAGAGGACAGCUGCUUUAGCAGAGCUGUGGUGAUGGAACAAGGGGAAAUGGCUU
Molecule: long non-coding RNA, 337 nt
Filed under: Gallus gallus (chicken)
Lineage: Eukaryota; Metazoa; Chordata; Aves; Galliformes; Phasianidae
Source: RNAcentral